GCUAAAAACCUAGCCCCUCAAUACCAAAUGAACCACUUAAUCUUAUCUUAUAAACUAAAACAUUUUAUAAACAUAGUAAAGGCGAUUGAAAAAUUUGUAGGAGCAAUAAUGAUAGUACCGCAAGGGAAAGGUGAAAUAAAAAUGAAAAAAUAUCGAGCACAUAAUAGUAGAGACUAACCCUCGUACCUUUUGCAUCAUGGUUUAACUAGUCUAACCAAGCAAAAUGACUUACAGUUUGACCCCCCGAAACUAAGUGAGCUACUUCAGGGCAGCUUAUUGAGCAAACCCGUCUCUGUUGCAAAAGAGUGGGAGGACCUUCAAGUAGAGGUGAUAGACCUAACGAGCUUAGUGAUAGCUGGUUACUCAAGAAAAGGAUUUUAGUCCAGCCUAAAGUCUUUUUGAUACAAUAAAAUAAUGUAACAACUUUAGAGUAAUUCAAAUAAGGUACAGCCUAUUUGAAAAAGGAUACAACCUAAACUAAUGGGUAAAACUAAACUUUAUAACCAAGUAGGCCUAAAAGCAGCCACCUUUUAAAUAGCGUUAAAGCUUUAUUAUAAUUUGCUUUAAAUACCUCAAAACAAUUUUAACCCUUUAAUUCUAUUGGGUAAUUCUAUAUCUUUAUGGAACUUAUAAUGUUAAAACUAGUAACAAGAAGAAGACCUUCUCUUAAAUGCAAGUGUAAAUCAGUAAGGACCAACCACUGAUAAUUAACACCUAUGAAACAAUAUUAGUAACCUCCCGAGAAAACUCUAAUAAAUUCUGUGUUAACCUAACACAAGGGCAUUUCAAGAAAGAUUAAAAGAAAAAGAAGGAACUCGGCAAAUAUUAACCUCGCCUGUUUACCAAAAACAUCGCCUCUUGAAUAUUUAUAAGAGGUCCAGCCUGCCCAGUGACUCUGUUCAACGGCCGCGGUAUCCUAACCGUGCGAAGGUAGCGUAAUCACUUGUUCUUUAAAUGAGGACUAGUAUGAAUGGCACCACGAGGGUUAUACUGUCUUCUUUUUCUAAUCAGUGAAACUAAUCUCCCCGUGAAGAAGCGGGGAUAAAAAUAUAAGACGAGAAGACCCUAUGGAGCUUUAAACUUAAUAACAAAUACUAUCCUUUAUUUAACUUUCAGAAUAUAUACCUUUAUUCUAGUAUUAUGGUUAUUAGUUUUAGGUUGGGGUGACCGCGGAGCAAAAAUCAACCUCCACAUUGAACGGAACUCAUUCCUGAGCAAAAAGCCACGACUUUAAGCACCAAUAAAUUGACAUCAAUUGACCCAAUAUUUUGAUCAACGAACCAAGUUACCCUAGGGAUAACAGCGCAAUCCACUUCAAGAGCUCCUAUCGACAAGUGGGUUUACGACCUCGAUGUUGGAUCAGGGUAUCCCAGUGGUGCAGCCGCUACUAAAGGUUCGUUUGUUC
Molecule: ribosomal RNA, 1405 nt
Filed under: Trachycephalus helioi
Lineage: Eukaryota; Metazoa; Chordata; Amphibia; Anura; Hylidae
Description: partial 16S ribosomal RNA
Rfam family: Bacterial large subunit ribosomal RNA
Source: RNAcentral